This 302-nucleotide ribosomal RNA is filed under the name uncultured bacterium. Its description in RNAcentral is "partial 16S ribosomal RNA". It matches the Rfam family "Bacterial small subunit ribosomal RNA", at positions 508 to 807 of the family's 1533-position model. The record is from RNAcentral.
GCAGCAGCCGCGGUAAUACGUAGGUGGCAAGCGUUGUCCGGAAUUAUUGGGCGUAAAGGGCUCGCAGGCGGUUUCUUAAGUCUGAUGUGAAAGCCCCCGGCUCAACCGGGGAGGGUCAUUGGAAACUGGGAAACUUGAGUGCAGAAGAGGAGAGUGGAAUUCCACGUGUAGCGGUGAAAUGCGUAGAGAUGUGGAGGAACACCAGUGGCGAAGGCGACUCUCUGGUCUGUAACUGACGCUGAGGAGCGAAAGCGUGGGGAGCGAACAGGAUUAGAUACCCGUGUAGUCCCUGUCUCUUAUAC